Molecule: ribosomal RNA, 408 nt
Filed under: uncultured bacterium
Lineage: Bacteria
Description: partial 16S ribosomal RNA
Rfam family: Bacterial small subunit ribosomal RNA
Source: RNAcentral
AUUGAACGCUGGCGGCAGGCUUAACACCUGCAAGUCGAGCGGAGUGGCGCACGGGUGAGUAAUGUAUAGCUAAUCUGCCCUACACUAGAGGACAACAGUUGGCAACGACUGCUAAUACUCUAUAGUGUAGGAUGAGGCUAAAUUGUAUCAGCUCGUUGGUGAGGUAAUGGCUCACCAAGGCUAUGACGCAUAGCUGGUCUGAGAGGAUGGUCAGUGACACUGGAACUGAAACACGACCCAGACUCCUACGGGAGGCAGCAGUAGGGAAUAUUGCUCAAUGGGGAGAACCCUGAAGCAGCAACGCCGCGUGGAGGAUGACACUUUUCGGAGCGUAAACUCCUUUUGUUAGGGAAGCGGUACCUAACGAAUAAGCACCGGCUAACUCCGUGCCAGCAGCCGCGGUAAUAC